AUUAAAUUCGGAGGGGUGUAGCUGGCCUCGGAAACGAGGAUGUGCACGCUCUUCUGUUUUUCAUAACUCACCUGUGCACCUUAUGUAGGAUGCUCCUCUUUCGGGAGGGGGGACCUAUGUUUUUGUAUAACUCUUCGUGUAGAAAGUCUUAGAAUGUUUACUAUCAGAGAGUCGCGACUUCUAGGAGACGCGAAUCUCUGAGAUAAAAGUUAAUUACAACUUUCAGCAAUGGAUCUCUUGGCUCUCGCAUCGAUGAAGAACGCAGCGAAAAGCGAUAUGUAAUGUGAAUUGCAGAUCUACAGUGAAUCAUCGAAUCUUUGAACGCACCUUGCGCUCCUCGGUGUUCCGAGGAGCAUGCCUGUUUGAGUGUCAGUAAAUUCUCAACCCCUCUCGAUUUGUUUCGAGAGGAAGCUUGGAUGGUGGAGGCUGCAGGAGACUAGAACUUUCGUCUUGGACUCGGGCUCUCCUUAAAUGCAUUGGCUUGCGGACGACUUUCGACUUUGCGCGACAAGGCUUUCGGCGUGAUAAUGAUCGCCGUUCGCUGAAGCGCAUGAAUGAAGGUUCCGUGCCUCUAAUACGUCGACUUAGUAUCUCUUAGGAGAGAAAACGUCUUCCUUAUUGACUUUUGACCUCAAAUCAGGUAGGACUACCCGCUGAACUUAAGCUACCCUAGGGGGGGGGGGGGA
This 686-nucleotide ribosomal RNA is filed under the name Rhizopogon roseolus. RNAcentral describes it as "eukaryotic LSU rRNA". The stretch from base 218 to 372 matches the Rfam family "5.8S ribosomal RNA". The record is from RNAcentral. Lineage: Eukaryota; Fungi; Basidiomycota; Agaricomycetes; Boletales; Rhizopogonaceae.